AGAGUUUGAUCACUGGCUCAGGACGAACGCUGGCGGCGUGCUUAACACAUGCAAGUCGAGCGGAAAGGCCCUUCGGGGUACUCGAGCGGCGAACGGGUGAGUAACACGUGAGUAACCUGCCCCCGACUCUGGGAUAAGCCCGGGAAACUGGGUCUAAUACCGGAUAUGACACCUCCUCGCAUGGGGUGGGUGUGGAAAGUCUUUUCGGUUGGGGAUGGACUCGCGGCCUAUCAGCUUGUUGGUGGGGUAAUGGCCUACCAAGGCGACGACGGGUAGCCGGCCUGAGAGGGCGACCGGCCACACUGGGACUGAGACACGGCCCAGACUCCUACGGGAGGCAGCAGUGGGGAAUAUUGCGCAAUGGGCGAAAGCCUGACGCAGCGACGCCGCGUGGGGGAUGACGGCCUUCGGGUUGUAAACCUCUUUCAGCAGGGACGAAGUUGACGUGUACCUGCAGAAGAAGCGCCGGCUAACUACGUGCCAGCAGCCGCGGUAAUACGUAGGGCGCAAGCGUUGUCCGGAAUUAUUGGGCGUAAAGAGCUCGUAGGUGGCUUGUCACGUCGGGUGUGAAAGCUUGGGGCUUAACUCCAGGUCUGCAUUCGAUACGGGCUGGCUAGAGGUAGGUAGGGGAGAACGGAAUUCCUGGUGUAGCGGUGAAAUGCGCAGAUAUCAGGAGGAACACCGGUGGCGAAGGCGGUUCUCUGGGCCUUACCUGACGCUGAGGAGCGAAAGCGUGGGGAGCGAACAGGAUUAGAUACCCUGGUAGUCCACG
Molecule: ribosomal RNA, 772 nt
Filed under: uncultured Streptosporangium sp.
Lineage: Bacteria; Bacillati; Actinomycetota; Actinomycetes; Streptosporangiales; Streptosporangiaceae
Description: bacterial SSU rRNA
Rfam family: Bacterial small subunit ribosomal RNA
Source: RNAcentral